UUGUGCUUUCCCAAGAAAAAUGGUGGGAUGGGGUUCUGGGACCUUCAUUCUUUCAACUUGGCUAUGUUAGCAAAACAGGUUUGGAAGCUACUGGAUGACCCAGAAUCAUUAUGUGCUAGGAUCCUCUGAGCAAAAGCUUCAAAAGAAAAAAGGAUCCUCCAAGCAAAACCAAAGAAGGGGCCCUUCUUUAUGUGGCAGAGCAUUGUGGCGGGCAUUCAAACUUUCAAGCGUGGCCACAUUUGAAGAAUUGGGACUGGUGAAAUGGUAAAUAUAUGCGAGGAUUAUUGGAUACCCUUAAGCCCAUUGAGGAAAGUUAUUACACCGAGGAAUGGGGUUCUAAUUACAAAAGUAAUUGAGUUGAUUGAUCCUGCGGCGGAGAAAUGGGAUGAGGAGCUUAUACGAGAUAUUUUUAACCCAGUGGAUGUCAACCGUAUCCUCCAGAUUCCCUUAAGCUACAAUUCUUUUGAGGACUUUGUCGUUUGGAAGGGUACAUCUUCAGGUUUCUUUUCCGUCAGAUCGGCAUACCACUGUGAAUGGGAUCAUCAAUUUCAGAACACCAAUCAGUUGGCUGGCCCUGCAACACCAAACCCGACCUGGUCAAUUCUAUGGAAGUCGCGCAUCCCCGGAAAAAUCAAGAUAUUCUGUUGGAGGGCACUGCAUGGCAUAUUACUACCCCUUAAAAGUAUUCUAACCAAUAGACAUGUCGGAUCAGCUGGUCAUUGCCCAGUUUGUUCACAGGGUUCUGAAGAUGUUAUGCAUCUUUUAUUUGGUUGUGCUCACGCUAAAGAGAUGUGGAGGCUACUCGAAUGA
Molecule: ribosomal RNA, 810 nt
Filed under: Triticum aestivum (bread wheat)
Lineage: Eukaryota; Viridiplantae; Streptophyta; Magnoliopsida; Poales; Poaceae
Description: partial small subunit ribosomal RNA
Source: RNAcentral